Molecule: ribosomal RNA, 404 nt
Filed under: uncultured bacterium
Lineage: Bacteria
Description: bacterial SSU rRNA
Rfam family: Bacterial small subunit ribosomal RNA
Source: RNAcentral
UAGGGAAUAUUGCACAAUGAGCGAAAGCUUGAUGCAGCAACGCCGCGUGCGCGAUGACGGCCUUCGGGUUGCAAAGCGCUUUUCGGGGAGAUGAGGAAGGACAGUAUCCCCGGAAUAAGUCUCGGCUAACUACGUGCCAGCAGCCGCGGUAACACGUAGGAGGCAAGCGUUAUCCGAAUUUACUGGGCGUAAAGCGCGUGCAGGCGGUUCGGUAAGUUGGAUGUGAAAUCUCCCGGCUCAACUGGGAGAGGACGUUCAAUACUGUCGGACUUGAGGACGAUAGAGGGAGGUGGAAUUCCCGGUGUAGUGGUGAAAUGCGUAGAUAUCGGGAGGAACACCAGUGGCGAAAGCGGCCUCCUGGAUCGUUCCUGACGCUCAGACGCGAAAGCUAGGGGAGCGAACGG